RNAcentral lists this ribosomal RNA (253 nucleotides) under uncultured bacterium. Its description in RNAcentral is "partial 16S ribosomal RNA". It matches the Rfam family "Bacterial small subunit ribosomal RNA", at positions 524 to 776 of the family's 1533-position model. The record is from RNAcentral.
UACAGAGGUCCCAAGCGUUGUUCGGAUUUACUGGGCGUAAAGGGCGCGUAGGCGGCGCAACAAGUCACUUGUGAAAUCUCCGGGCUUAACCCGGAGCGGCCAAGUGAUACUGUCGUGCUAGAGUGCGGAAGGGGCUACUGGAAUUCUCGGUGUAGCGGUGAAAUGCGUAGAUAUCGAGAGGAACACCUGUGGCGAAAGCGAAUCUCUGGACAGUUCCUGACGCUGAGGCUCGAAGGCUAGGGUAGCGAAAGGG